Molecule: long non-coding RNA, 4096 nt
Filed under: Sus scrofa (pig)
Lineage: Eukaryota; Metazoa; Chordata; Mammalia; Artiodactyla; Suidae
Description: lncRNA (ENSSSCG00040055519.1)
Source: RNAcentral
GACUGCACCUGUGGCAUAUGCAAGUUCCAGGCUAGGGGCUGAAAUCAGAGCUGCACUGCUGGCCUACACCACAGCCACGACAACCCCGGAUCUGAGCCACGUCUGUGACCUAUACCACAGCUUGCAGAAACACCAGAUCCUUCCUUAAUCCACAGAGGCCAGGGAUCAAACCUACAUCCUCACGGAUACUGUGUCAGGUUCUUAACCCACUGAGCCACAAGAGGAACUCCAAACAAGCUGCUCUAAAGACUUUCUCAAUCCAAUAAGCAAGCAACUGCAUAAAAUAAUCCCUGCUGAAGAUAAACAUGUGAUUAAAAAAUUUUUUCAAACUAUAGGUGGUUACAAACCAUUAAGAAGAAGAGUUAGUAGACACAGCAAAGGAGAAUUUGCACCUCAAGAUUAGAAAUAUUAGAAAAACUUAAAAUAGAUUAUCAAAUAAUUAUGCACAGAAUUGAGCAGGAUUUUGAAAGCAGAUAUCCUAAUGAAAAAAAAAAAGAGAGUGGGAAUGGGAGUAAUAGGCACAUUUGGAAAAGAACCAAGUAGAAAUGAAAGAGAGAGACAAUUUAAUUAAGAAUUCAGUAGCUGGUUUAAAUAGCCGUUUAGACAUCGCUCAAGAGAGAGUUAGUGAGCUGGAAGAUUGAUCUGACAAAUCACCCAGAACACUGCACGGAGAACUGAAGAGUGGAAAAUACGGGCCAGCAACUAAGGCGCAUGAGGAGCGGAACACGAAUGUCCAAGAUUAAGUCCAACGGGAAUUCCAGAAAAAGGGAUCGGUGAAGAUAGGAAGGGGCGAGAUUCAAAGAGUUAAUGACCAACGAACGAUGUUCCAGGAGGGAAAAAAAAUGAUGAAUAUUCAAUUUGAAUAUUCAAUUUAAAGAAGUACAAAUCCUGAACUGAAUGAUUAAUAACACAUUUACACUUAGAUGCACCACAGAUCAACGGCAAAGAAAGGCAGCUAAAGAAAAUAGAAAAAUACAAGAUGAAAUUCCAGACCUCUCACUUAAAAGAUGUCAGAGGUGUAACAUGUGAUCGACGGGAGUGUGGGGGGAGUCCCCACUGUGGCGCAGGAUCAGUGGCAUCUCUGCAGCGGCAGGAUGCAGGUUCGAUCCCCAGCCCAGCGCAGUGGGUUAAAGGAUCUGGCAUUGCUGCAGCUUUGGCGUAAGUUGCAGUUGUAGCUGGGAUCUGAUUCCCUGGCCCAAGAACUGCAUGUGCUGCAGGGUGGACACACACACACACACACAAAAGUGUCGGGCCCUGAGUCAAAAAACCUGAUUCUGAAAUCCAGCUCUGCCUCUUACUCUGUACUCUGGAUAAAUACCUUACCUCUCUGGCUCUCGGCUUCUCACUCUGAUAAAAUGGACGAUGACUUCAGAUGAUUGUUGUGGUGCAGAUUAAAUGACAGGAGAUAGAUGUAGUUAUACGGCAUUCGACACACAUAAGCACUUUGAAAAUAUCAGCUGCUCUUAGUAUUAUUAUUCAAUCACCGAGCACAUUACAUACUGGUAUUGCUUAUGUUUCUACCUCCAGAGUUCAGGGCAGCCACAGCCACCAGGGGGCCGUGGGUGGGGGCGGGGGCAGAAGGAUGUCCCCAAAAGGAAAACAACAGAGAGGGGACUUUGUAUUAAACUCGGCCCAAACUCUGUCUUGACUCCUAAACCGAGCGUUUGUGCGGCAAACUCCAGCACAGCUAAGGCUAAGAAAACUGAACUGAGCUCUGGGCUUCCAUCCACCCCAGGAGUGACAGUGGCAACAGUUUGACCUCAGCCAACUUAAGUUCCUACUAAAACAAAACAAAGUAAAGUAAAGUAAAGUAAAUAGGAGUUCCCGUCAUGGCUCAGUGGAAACAAACCUGACUAGUAUGCAUGAGGACAUAGGUUCGAUCCCUGGCCUCGCUCAGUUGUUAAGGAUCCGGCAUUGCCCUGAGCUGUGGUGUAGGCUGCAGAUGCGGCUAGGAUCCAGCAUUGCUAUGGCUGUGGCCUAGGCUAGCAGCUACAGCUCCAAUUUGACCCCUAGUCUGGGAACCUCCAUAUGCUGUGCAAACAUAAAAAAAAAAAAGAAAAGAAAAGGCAAAAAUAAAUAAAUAAAUGAAUAAAAUGAAACAGAAAAAUCACACUCUUUGGAGACAUACAGCAGAAUCCAGAGAUAUUUACAGAACAUAAUAUUUACAAUAGCCAGGUUACAAUCCAAAAUUACUCAAUACACAAACAGAAAACAUAAACUAGCUAAAAGAGAAAACACUCAAAGCAGGAGUUCCCCUCGUGGUGCAAAGGAAAUGAAUCCAACUAGGAACCAUGAGGUUGUGGGUUCAAUCCCUGGCUUCUCUCCGUGGGUUAAGGAUCCAGCGUGCUGUGAGCUGUGGUGUGGGUCGCAGACACGGCUUGGAUCCCGAGUUGCUGUGGCUGUGGCGUAGGCUGGCAGCUACAGCUCUGAUUAGACCCCUAGCCUGGGAACCUCUAUAUGCCAGGGGAGCGGCCCUAGAAAAGGCAAAAAGACCAAAAAAAAAAAAAAAAAGACUGAAAGAACAAAUGUCCAUCCAGAACUUGACAUCCAUUGACAUACCCUUCGGGAAGGAUGAUGAAAUAAAGACACGGUCAGAUUGGAAAGAAAAAAGAAAAAAAGCACACACACAAAGAAUUUCCUUUUUAACACACCCUUUUUCCACACUGCCAGCAAAAGCAGACUGCAAGAAACGCUCAACCAAGUUCCACAGGCUGAAGAAGCGUGAUGCCCCUUAGUUUAUCUUCGAAAGGAAUUAAGACCAUUGAAAAUGGUAAAUAUGUGGGGAAAUUUUUUUUUUUUUCAUCUUUUUGUUUUGGGCCGCACCCUCGGCAUAUGGAAGAUUCCAGGCCAGGAGCUGAAACAGAGCACCGGAUCCUUAACCCACUCAGCAAGGCCAGGGAUUGAACCCCUGUUCUCAGGAACACCAGUCAGGUUCAUGACCGCUGAGCCACGACGGGAACUCCCUGGGUAAAUGUUGUUAAAACUAUUCUUCCUCCUAAUUUCUUCAAAAUAAUCAUGACGGUUUAAACCAAUACAAAUCAAAAACUGUAACUUCAUAGUGUACAACAUAUCACAUGCAGAUUACUAUAGGAUGAGAAUUAUAACAUAAAUCAAUGGAACUAUACAGCUGUCAGUUUUCAAUCAUGCAAAGUGGUGCAUUAUUAACUCUAAGUAGACUGUUUCUGUCUUCACAGCUAGUGCUGGAGGCCCUUGAAACCCUGGGACCAUGUCAAAGAACAGCUGAUGCGCAGCCAACACUUAAUAAAUAAAUAUUGGUUUCUGUAGAAAUCAGUCUCCUGAGACUUUAAUUACCUGGAUUCAAUUCAUGAGAGUCUAACAGACCCUGAGAGGCUGAGAAAAAUCUAGUUUCCACAGAAAGAAACGUGAGGUGUAGCAGCUCGCCUUUAUAAACGCAUGCCCUGGGACCUGCACCCAUAGUCUGCGACAUAAAGACGCCAAGACACUAAUUCACACAUCUUGCUUGCUUGCAAAAAUGAGAGAUCUUAGUUUCAAGACAGAACGCAGGUCAAAAUGAUCACAUAACUGCUAAAAUAAAAUGAAUUUCAACAUCCAAUUUAAAGUGCAUGAUGAGGACUUGGGUUUGACCCCUGGCCUUGCUCAGUGGGUUAAGGACCCAGGGUCAUGGUGAGCUGUGGUAUAGCUCACAGAUGCAGCCCAAAUCCCAUGUUGUUGUGGCUGUGGUGUAGGCCAGCAGCUGCAGCUCCAAUUUGACCCCUAGCCUGGGAACGUCCAUACGCUGUAGGUGCGGCCCUGAAAAAGCAAAAAAAAAAAAAAAAAAAAAAAAAAAAAAAAAUGCAAAGAGGUGCAGAGGGAAGAAAAAAACUCAUUGAAAAAAGGACGAAAUCUAAAUUACAGGGAUUUCAGACUUCCUGUUGUGGCGCAGAGGAAAACGAAUCCGACUAGGAACCACGAGGUUGUGGAUUUGAUCCCUGGCCUCGCUCAGUGGGUUAAGGAUCCGGUGUUGCUGUGAGCUGUGGUAUAGGCCGAAGAUGUGGCUCGGAUCUGAUGUGGCUGUGGCUGUGGUGUAGGCCGGCAGGUGUAGCUCCGAUUGGACCCCUAGCCUGGGAACCUCCAU